This 20-nucleotide non-coding RNA is filed under the name Arabidopsis thaliana (thale cress). The record is from RNAcentral. Lineage: Eukaryota; Viridiplantae; Streptophyta; Magnoliopsida; Brassicales; Brassicaceae. RNAcentral also lists the same sequence under 1 other name.
CCCUGUUGAGCUUGACUCUA